CAUGCAAGUCGAGCGGUAGCACAGAGAGCUUGCUCUCGGGUGACGAGCGGCGGACGGGUGAGUAAUGUCUGGGAAACUGCCUGAUGGAGGGGGAUAACUACUGGAAACGGUAGCUAAUACCGCAUAACGUCGCAAGACCAAAGUGGGGGACCUUCGGGCCUCAUGCCAUCAGAUGUGCCCAGAUGGGAUUAGCUAGUAGGUGGGGUAACGGCUCACCUAGGCGACGAUCCCUAGCUGGUAUGAGAGGAUGACCAG
This 255-nucleotide ribosomal RNA is filed under the name Klebsiella pneumoniae. Its description in RNAcentral is "partial 16S ribosomal RNA". It matches the Rfam family "Bacterial small subunit ribosomal RNA", at positions 54 to 307 of the family's 1533-position model. Lineage: Bacteria; Pseudomonadati; Pseudomonadota; Gammaproteobacteria; Enterobacterales; Enterobacteriaceae. The record is from RNAcentral.